Molecule: ribosomal RNA, 465 nt
Filed under: uncultured bacterium
Lineage: Bacteria
Description: partial 16S ribosomal RNA
Source: RNAcentral
GACUACCGGGGUAUCUAAGCCCGUUCGCUCCCCACGCUUUCGAGCCUCAGCGUCAGUUAUGCGCCAGAAAGCCGCUUUCGCCACCGGUGUUCCUCCAGAUAUCUACGCAUUUCACCGCUACACCUGGAAUUCCGCUUUCCUAUCGCACACUCAAGCCAGGCAGUAUCCAAAGCUAUUCCGGGGUUAAGCCCCGGGCUUUCACUUCAGACUGACUUGGCCGCCUGCGCUCCCUUUACGCCCAGUCAUUCCGAACAACGCUUGCAACCUCCGUAUUACCGCGGCUGCUGGCACGGAGUUAGCCGUUGCUUAUUCCUGAGGUACCGUCAAGCCAAGGGCAUUUCCUCCCCCGGCAGUUCUUCCCUCAGAAAAGGACUUUACGACCCGAAGGCCUUCAUCAUCCACGCGGCAUGGCUGCGUCAGGCUUUCGCCCAUUGCGCAAUAUUCCCCACUGCAGCCCCCCGUAGG